Molecule: ribosomal RNA, 669 nt
Filed under: Rothia aeria
Lineage: Bacteria; Bacillati; Actinomycetota; Actinomycetes; Micrococcales; Micrococcaceae
Description: bacterial SSU rRNA
Rfam family: Bacterial small subunit ribosomal RNA
Source: RNAcentral
UGCAGUCGAACGAUGAAGCGGAUGCUUGCACCGUGGAUUAGUGGCGAACGGGUGAGUAAUACGUGAGNGACCUACCUUUGACUCUGGGAUAAGCCUGGGAAACUGGGUCUAAUACCGGAUACGACCAAUCUCUGCAUGGGGUGUUGGUGGAAAGCGUUAUGGAGUGGUUUUAGAUGGGCUCACGGCCUAUCAGCUUGUUGGUGAGGUAAUGGCUUACCAAGGCGACGACGGGUAGCCGGCCUGAGAGGGUGACCGGCCACACUGGGACUGAGACACGGCCCAGACUCCUACGGGAGGCAGCAGUGGGGAAUAUUGCACAAUGGGCGCAAGCCUGAUGCAGCGACGCCGCGUGAGGGAUGACGGCCUUCGGGUUGUAAACCUCUGUUAGCAUCGAAGAAGCGAAAGUGACGGUAGGUGCAGAGAAAGCGCCGGCUAACUACGUGCCAGCAGCCGCGGUAAUACGUAKGGCGCGAGCGUUGUCCGGAAUUAUUGGGCGUAAAGAGCUUGUAGGCGGUUGGUCGCGUCUGCUGUGAAAGGCCGGGGCUUAACUCCGGUUUUGCAGUGGGUACGGGCUAACUAGAGUGCAGUAGGGGAGACUGGAAUUCCUGGUGUAGCGGUGGAAUGCACAGAUAUCAGGARGAACACCGAUGGCGAANGCAGGUCUCUGGG